RNAcentral lists this ribosomal RNA (542 nucleotides) under uncultured bacterium. RNAcentral's name for it is "bacterial SSU rRNA". It matches the Rfam family "Bacterial small subunit ribosomal RNA", at positions 777 to 1320 of the family's 1533-position model. The record is from RNAcentral.
AAUAGAUACCCCGGUAGUCCACGCCGUAAACGAUGAAUACUAGGUGUAGGGGUUGUCAUGACCUCUGUGCCGCCGCUAACGCAUUAAGUAUUCCGCCUGGGGAGUACGGUCGCAAAGAUUAAAACUCAAAGGAAUUGACGGGGGCCCGCACAAGCAGCGGAGCAUGUGGUUUAAUUCGAAGCAACGCGAAGAACCUUACCUAGACUUGACAUCUCCUGAAUUACCCUUAAUCGGGGAAGCCCUUCGGGGCAGGAAGACAGGUGGUGCAUGGUUGUCGUCAGCUCGUGUCGUGAGAUGUUGGGUUAAGUCCCGCAACGAGCGCAACCCUUAUUGUUAGUUGCUACCAUUUAGUUGAGCACUCUAGCGAGACUGCCCGGGUUAACCGGGAGGAAGGUGGGGAUGACGUCGAAAUCAUCAUGCCCCUUAUGUCUAGGGCUACACACGUGCUACAAUGGCUGGUACAGAGAGACGCUAAACCGCGAGGUGGAGCCAAAACUUCAAAACCAGUCUCAGUUCGGAUUGUAGGCUGAAACUCGCCUACA